GCAGUUUUUCAUUGUCAAGUCCAAACUGGACUGCUUUUGCUGAAAGUUUCUCAUGAUCACAACUCAGAGCCUCCAAUCUUUCAGAGAGGUUGUCCCUCUCAUGGAUAAAUGCUUUAAUAUCCAUCUCAUAGUUAGAUAAUCUCUUUUGGGAAUCCUCCAAUUCAGCAUUUAAGCAAGAUAUUCUCUUUUGAGACUGUUCCAAAUCUGUAGUUAGGGAUCCACAAUAUUUUUCAAGUUCAUCAAUGUUCAGUAGCAGAGAAUUUCUAUCAUUAUUAGCCUCUGAAAGCGCAUUUCCUAACCACUGAAUCCUA
Molecule: unclassified non-coding RNA, 311 nt
Filed under: Hevea brasiliensis (rubber tree)
Lineage: Eukaryota; Viridiplantae; Streptophyta; Magnoliopsida; Malpighiales; Euphorbiaceae
Source: RNAcentral